UAGCAGGAAAACAGAGACGUAGUGUACCCUAAGCUGAUAAAAAAAAAUCUACGCACUCAUCUGCAAUAGCACCCGCGCAAUAGCCUCGGUGCAACUGGGGACCAAGUAGGGGACAGGGGCGGUCCAGAAUACGUCCCCAUCUGACGGGACAUGUCUGUUGAUUCGCGAUUGUACCUGCAGAUAUUACGCACUUUUUGAAGGCGAAGAUCCCUUUUAAGUACGUGUUUAUUCCAUCCAUCUACCUGGGAGGGGAAUCGGUGCGCAUCUCACAGAUCUGGAUCAAUGAAUCAUGGCAGAGCACAGAUGGAGAGAUCAAGAAAAGGAAGGAGAAAUGAGUAAG
This 340-nucleotide long non-coding RNA is filed under the name Salmo salar (Atlantic salmon). RNAcentral's name for it is "lncRNA (ENSSSAG00000120637.1)". Lineage: Eukaryota; Metazoa; Chordata; Actinopteri; Salmoniformes; Salmonidae. The record is from RNAcentral.